This 850-nucleotide ribosomal RNA is filed under the name uncultured Methanosarcinales archaeon. RNAcentral's name for it is "bacterial SSU rRNA". It matches the Rfam family "Archaeal small subunit ribosomal RNA", at positions 35 to 892 of the family's 1478-position model. The record is from RNAcentral. Lineage: Archaea; Methanobacteriati; Methanobacteriota; Methanomicrobia; Methanosarcinales.
GAGAUCGAUCAGCCAUGCGAGUUGAAUGUUCUUCGUGAACAUGGCGGACUGCUCAGUAACACGUGGACAACCUACCCUUGGAUCUGGGAUAAACCCGGGAAACUGGGCAUAAUACCGGAUAAGCCACAUAUGCUGGAAUGCUUUGUGGCUCAAAGCUCCGGCGUCCAAGGAUGGGUCUGCGGCCUAUCAGGGUAGUAGUGGGUGUAAUGUACCUACUAGCCUACGACGGGUACGGGUUGUGAGAGCAAGAGCCCGGAGAUGGAUUCUGAGACACGAAUCCAGGCCCUACGGGGUGCAGCAGGCGCGAAAACUUUACAAUGCGGGAAACCGCGAUAAGGGAAUCUCGAGUGCCAGCAUAUAAUGUUGGCUGUCCAGAUGCCUAAAAAGCAUUUGUUAGCAAGGGCCGGGCAAGACCGGUGCCAGCCGCCGCGGUAACACCGGCGGCCCGAGUGGUAACCGUUAUUAUUGGGUCUAAAGGGUCUGUAGCCGGCCGAAUAAGUCUCUUGGGAAAUCUGGCAGCUUAACUGUCAGGCAGUCAGGGGAUACUGUUCGGCUUGGGACCGGGAGAGGUGAGAGGUACCUCGGGGGUAGGGGUGAAAUCUUGUGAUCCUCGAGGGACCACCAGUGGCGAAGGCGUCUCACCAGAACGGGUCCGACGGUAAGGGACGAAAGCUAGGGGCACGAACCGGAUUAGAUACCCGGGUAGUCCUAGCCGUAAACGAUGCUUGCUAGGUGUCAGCCACGGUGCGACCGUGGUUGGUGCCGUAGGGAAGCCGUGAAGCGAGCCACCUGGGAAGUACGGCCGCAAGGCUGAAACUAAAGGAAUGGCGGGAGCACUACAACGGGGAGC